Dipodomys spectabilis (banner-tailed kangaroo rat) is the source of this 107-nucleotide small nuclear RNA. The record is from RefSeq and is a predicted model, not a curated record. NCBI's taxonomy places the organism in Eukaryota, Metazoa, Chordata, Mammalia, Rodentia, Heteromyidae.
GUGCUGGCAUAGGAAGUACAUAUACUAGAAUUAGAACAGUACAGAGAAGACUAUAAUGCACCUUGUGCCAGGAUGACACACAUAUGCGUGAAAUAUUCUAAUGUAUU